GACGAACGCUGGCGGCGUGCUUAACACAUGCAAGUCGAACGGAAAGGCCCUGCUUUUGUGGGGUGCUCGAGUGGCGAACGGGUGAGUAACACGUGAGUAACCUGCCCUUGACUUUGGGAUAACUUCAGGAAACUGGGGCUAAUACCGGAUAGGAGCUCCUGCUGCAUGGUGGGGGUUGGAAAGUUUCGGCGGUUGGGGAUGGACUCGCGGCUUAUCAGCUUGUUGGUGGGGUAGUGGCUUACCAAGGCUUUGACGGGUAGCCGGCCUGAGAGGGUGACCGGCCACAUUAGGACUGAGAUACGGCCCAGACUCCUACGGGAGGCAGCGGUGGGGAAUAUUGCACAAUGGGCGGAAGCCUGAUGCAGCAACGCCGCGUGCGGGAUGACGGCCUUCGGGUUGUAAACCGCUUUCGCCUGUGACGAAGCGUGAGUGACGGUAAUGGGUAAAGAAGCACCGGCUAACUACGUG
RNAcentral lists this ribosomal RNA (468 nucleotides) under uncultured bacterium. RNAcentral describes it as "partial 16S ribosomal RNA". It matches the Rfam family "Bacterial small subunit ribosomal RNA", at positions 28 to 507 of the family's 1533-position model. The record is from RNAcentral.